Molecule: ribosomal RNA, 467 nt
Filed under: uncultured bacterium
Lineage: Bacteria
Description: bacterial SSU rRNA
Rfam family: Bacterial small subunit ribosomal RNA
Source: RNAcentral
UAGGGAAUAUUGGACAAUGGGUGAGAGCCUGAUCCAGCCAUGCCGCGUGCAGGAAGAAGGCGUUAUGCGUUGUAAACUGCUUUUUGCCAGGGGAUAAAAAGACCGUGCGCGGUUAAUUGAAGGUACCUGGUGAAUAAGCCACGGCUAACUACGUGCCAGCAGCCGCGGUAAUACGUAGGUGGCAAGCGUUGUCCGGAUUUAUUGGGUUUAAAGGGUGCGUAGGUGGCCCUGUAAGUCAGUGGUGAAAUAUCUCAGCUUAAACUGAGAGGGUGCCAUUGAUACUGCAGGGCUUGAGUACAGAUGAGGUAGGCGGAAUUGACGGUGUAGCGGUGAAAUGCAUAGAUAUCGUCAAGAACACCGAUAGCGAAGGCAGCUUACCAAGCUGUAACUGACACUGAGCGCGAAAGCCAGGGGAGCAAACGGGAUUAGAUACCCGCGUAGUCCCUGAGCGGGCUGGCAAGGCGCAU